This 468-nucleotide ribosomal RNA is filed under the name uncultured bacterium. RNAcentral's name for it is "partial 16S ribosomal RNA". It matches the Rfam family "Bacterial small subunit ribosomal RNA", at positions 28 to 507 of the family's 1533-position model. The record is from RNAcentral.
GAUGAACGCUGGCGGCGUGCUUAACACAUGCAAGUCGAACGGAAAGGCCCAAGCUUGCUUGGGUACUCGAGUGGCGAACGGGUGAGUAACACGUGGGUGAUCUGCCCUGCACUUCGGGAUAAGCCUGGGAAACUGGGUCUAAUACCGGAUAGGACGAUGGUUUGGAUGCCAUUGUGGAAAGUUUUUUCGGUGUGGGAUGAGCUCGCGGCCUAUCAGCUUGUUGGUGGGGUAAUGGCCUACCAAGGCGUCGACGGGUAGCCGGCCUGAGAGGGUGUACGGCCACAUUAGAACUGAGAUGCGGGCCAGACUCGUGAGGGAGGCAGAAGUGGGGAAUGUUGCACAAUGGGAGCAAGCCUGAUGCAGCGAGGCCGCGUGGGCGAUGACGGCCUUCGGGUUGUAAACUCCUUUCGCUAGGGACGAAGCGUUUUUGUGACGGUACCUGGAGAAGAAGCACCGGCUAACUACGUG